RNAcentral lists this ribosomal RNA (511 nucleotides) under uncultured organism. RNAcentral describes it as "SSU rRNA". It matches the Rfam family "Eukaryotic small subunit ribosomal RNA", at positions 1255 to 1788 of the family's 1831-position model. The record is from RNAcentral.
CUCUUUCUUGAUUUCGUGGGUGGUGGUGCAUGGCCGUUCUUAGUUGGUGGAGUGAUUUGUCUGCUUAAUUGCGAUAACGAACGAGACCUUAACCUGCUAAAUAGCCCGUAUUGCUUUGGCAGUACGCCGGCUUCUUAGAGGGACUAUCGGCUCAAGCCGAUGGAAGUUUGAGGCAAUAACAGGUCUGUGAUGCCCUUAGAUGUUCUGGGCCGCACGCGCGCUACACUGACAGAGCCAGCGAGUACUCCCUUGGCCGGAAGGCCCGGGUAAUCUUGUUAAACUCUGUCGUGCUGGGGAUAGUCCUUUGCAAUUAUUGGACUUCAACGAGGAAUUCCUAGUAAGCGUGAGUCAUCAGCUCGCGUUGAUUACGUCCCUGCCCUUUGUACACACCGCCCGUCGCUACUACCGAUUGAAUGGCUCAGUGAGGCUUUCGGACUGGCCCAGAGAGGUCGGCAACGNCCACUCAGGGCCGGAAAGUUAUCCAAACUCGGUCAUUUAGAGGAAGUAAAAG